Molecule: long non-coding RNA, 1500 nt
Filed under: Apteryx rowi (Okarito brown kiwi)
Lineage: Eukaryota; Metazoa; Chordata; Aves; Apterygiformes; Apterygidae
Description: lncRNA (ENSARWG00000000850.1)
Source: RNAcentral
CGGCUCGGAGUCGGUGGCUUUGAGGCCGUGUCAGAGCCAUGCUCCGGAAGGAAGGCAGGAGGAACAACCCCCCCCAAGACAGUGCGCUUCCAGCUCCCCGAGAGGCACUGGCACCAGGAGCUGGAGCUGGAGAGGCAGGAGGCUGCUGCUGCUGCUGCUGCCCUUUGGGAAGCAGCAGAUCCCCGGAGCUGUGCCGCGCUGCCGUGGGGGGAGCCCAGCCCCGUGGACGAGGACGGGCUGCCCCGCGGGCGGCCAGCUCGUGGGGUCAAGAGGAGCUGGCUGAGGGGCCUGACCUCCCGCCUGCGGGAGCUGCGCAGAUCGUGCGCGGGUGGGAAAGUGCCCAGAGCCCCAGGCACCUCCGGCCCUGCCCGCAGCAGCACGCAGACCCUCAGCAGCAAGCGGAGCUGCCGCCGCGGCAGGCAGGCAGGCAGGCAGGCAGGCAGGGAGGCAGGCAGGCAGGCAGGCAGGCACCGGCACUCAUUGCUGGGGCUUGGGCGUUCCUUGCAGUGCCAAGCUUUGCGCUCUUGCUCCGGCAAGAAGCUCUUCAAGAAGGCCCUGGCGCCUGCGGAGACCCUGGCUGCUGCGGGGCUCGUGCAGGAGGAGCAAGGGGAAAGCGGUGCUGUCACCUGGGGCCCAGCCAGCGACCAGGACGCGGCCGAGGACAUCCUCGACGCAGGCGUCCCCUCCGCUGAGCAAAUGCGAUGCCUUCUGAUGAAGAAGACUCGGAGRUGGGUAAGCCGCCAGCUGCCUGGGCGCGCAGGGAGCAAGGCUGGCAGGAYGYGGGCAUGCCGGGGUGCUGGGCUGAGCCGAGCAGCUGGCUGCAAAGGGCAUCUCCUCCUGGAGACGCCAGGAGAGCUGGGGGGAGCUGCGACACAUUUGCCAGGAGGCAUCUGGAGGCAGCCCAUGGGCAGCUGGGUCAGGGACAAGAAGCCUUGCGAGGCCUCAGCAAGGCCAUGCUGCCUGCUGCUAGUGUUUUCCUGCCUGCUCCAGCGGUUCGGGAUACACGUGGCACUUGCAGAGCAUAGGAUAGGCAAGAGCCAUGCUUGGCAGCAGCAGCACUCAGUCAGUCUCUCCUCUUCUCCCAUCUUCCUCCUUGUCCUUGGGUCACAGCAGAAGGGCAGCCCAGCGAGCCAAGCUGCGACGAGGUUAUCGAUGCGGCCCGACAGAUACAUCUGCAACUUGCAGAGCAAAUGGCAGCUCUUGCAGCUGGCAGCACAGAUGAGGUUUGCUGCCAGACAGCCCGAAACAGCAGACUACAGAAAUGCAUCAGCUUUAGUAGGCCCCACAUGUGCAACCAAGAGAACUUGAGCGAGGUGAGCAGGGCAGACCCCGAGGUCACGGUCGGGUUCAACCAGGAGCCGAGACCGCCAGGCAAGUUCAGCCACCGUCCCAGUGACCGUCCUCCGUGCCUGCUGGCGGCUGCACGCCAAGAGGCGCCGAACCGCCACCGCCGAGGAGCGGCCGCCUGGCGCGGGCAGGGCCGCCGCCGCCGAGGCCGAG